Non-coding RNA from Podarcis lilfordi (Lilford's wall lizard), 281 nucleotides. Lineage: Eukaryota; Metazoa; Chordata; Lepidosauria; Squamata; Lacertidae. The record is from the annotation of a GenBank genome assembly.
CAAUGUGAGGGCGAUCUGGCUGUGACAUCUGUCACCCCAUUGAUCGCCAGGGUUGAUUCGGCUGAUCUGGCUGGCUAGGCGGGUGUCCCCUUCCUCCCUCACCGCUCCAUGUGCGUCCCUCCCGAAGCUGCGCGUGGAAGAGGACGACCAUCCCAGAUAGAAGGAGUGUACCGUUCUUCGGUCAAGGGUAUACGAUAGCUGCGCUCCCCUGCUAGAACCUCCAAGCAAGCUCAAGGACCCUCUGCUUUCUAUGGCAUAAGGAGCCCAAUGGCAUGCAGAAU